RNAcentral lists this non-coding RNA (105 nucleotides) under Alexandrium minutum. The record is from RNAcentral. Lineage: Eukaryota; Dinophyceae; Gonyaulacales; Pyrocystaceae.
UUUUUUUUUUUUUUUUUUUUUUUUUUUUUUUUUUUUUUUUUUUUUUUUUUUUUUUUGCAAGACUCCGAAUGCGAUUGAAGAAGCGAGGACGACACGCAGGUCUGA